CCUACGGGUGGCAGCAGUGAGGAAUAUUGGUCAAUGGGCGCGAGCCUGAACCAGCCAAGUCGCGUGAGGGAAGACGGUCCUAUGGAUUGUAAACCUCUUUUGUCGGGGAGCAAAAGACGCCACGCGUGGCGUUCCGAGAGUACCCGAAGAACAAGCAUCGGCUAACUCCGUGCCAGCAGCCGCGGUAAUACGGAGGAUGCGAGCGUUAUCCGGAUUUAUUGGGUUGAAGGGGUGCGCAGGCGGAAGAUCAAGUCAGCGGUAAAAUUGAGAGGCUCAACCUCUUCGAGCCGUUGAAACUGGUUGUCUUGAGUGAGCGAGAAGUAGGCGGAAUGCGUGGUGUAGCGGUGAAAUGCAUAGAUAUCACGCAGAACUCCGAUUGCGAAGGCAGCAUACCGGCGCGCAACUGACGCUCAUGCACGAAAGUGUGGGUAUCGAACAGGAUUAGAUACCCCGGUAGUC
This 459-nucleotide ribosomal RNA is filed under the name uncultured bacterium. Its description in RNAcentral is "partial 16S ribosomal RNA". It matches the Rfam family "Bacterial small subunit ribosomal RNA", at positions 338 to 795 of the family's 1533-position model. The record is from RNAcentral.